This is a long non-coding RNA of Daphnia pulex (common water flea), 1462 nucleotides long. RefSeq lists it as uncharacterized. The transcript has 8 exons. The record is from RefSeq and is a predicted model, not a curated record. Lineage: Eukaryota; Metazoa; Arthropoda; Branchiopoda; Diplostraca; Daphniidae.
UGUCACGUUUGGUCACGUGCCGGUGACACAGGUCUAUCUCUGGUGAAAACUGAAAAGAUUCAUAGGUGAAACGCUACAAAGUUUCUCUCUCCUCUAUUAAUAUCAUAAAUGUAUGGGAAAUAAACACCUGGUGAUCGUGUUAACAGUGCACGAUAUCCUAGUCUGAUUCCCGACUGCUGAAUCGACAAUGAACUUUGAAUUAUGCAGAUGACUUCGGGCCAGAGCAGACGGAGAAAUCCUUCUCUGGAGUCACAAGUCGGUAAGGUUAAUUGUCAUCUCCUUGGUGAAACUUCUCAGUUCCAGAACUUUGUCAUCCAGCAACGUGAAACCUGAAGUGCACAUCCAAGUUGCUGCCCAUCGUUAACAAUGUUCUGCUAGACUGAAUCCAUGGACUGGGAAUCGAUAUCUCAAACACCAACCAAGGUACUACAAACUUCCAGACUAUGUAUCAGCUGUUUGAUGGACUCCGCUGAUUCCUGUUCAGCAUCCAGCCCAGAGUCACCAAAAUAGAACGCUAAGUAACCUUUAUCGUAUAAUGAGCAGCUCAAUCUCAAAUCUAAAUGUAUUAGCUCACGUCGUGCAAUCUAAAAAAAAACUACUGGGGCAUGAACAAUCAAAACUAACUUCCUGGCAAUCCUUCGGGCCAAAUCACGGGAAACUGCACGACUAAAAUAUUUGGUCACCUCCAUGGGUAAAACUCCUCUAAUCCAAGGUCUUCGUCAUCCAGAUCUGUAAUCUAAAACUCCUAGAGUUGCAGCCCAUCACUAACACUACCCUAUUUCUGAUAGACUGAAUGCAAUGGCUUCACAGAGAGCUUCCAGAGGAAUCUAAUCAGAACCAACACCCAAGAUAUUAGCCUGCAGACUUAUCAGCUGCUUGAUUGACCGCGUUUUCUGUUUCAGCAUCCAACAUGGAAUAAGAGAAACGAGAGCGUUUUCCAACAUCGUAACAAACAAUCAAAUGUACUGUCGCACAGCUAAUGCCAUCUGUCACACUACUGUUAAGACAAGAACAGCACAAAAAUACUUCCCGGCAGGCCUCCAGGAAAAUCACCCGAAACUGCAACGGCUAAAGGUAAAAAACUUUCGACUUUCAUUCCGUAGUUACUCUUUUAUGGUAGGAGUGAGUUUGAACAACAUCACAAUUGGAAACGUGUGGUUUGGUACAUGUUUAAUCAAAUAUGUGCGAGGCAGGGCUUGUUGCACUUGGCACAAUGUGUGAGGUGAAACUCAUUAGAGUGGAUAUUAAAUUAAUGCCUAGAUUAACAGCUACUACAACAACAACUACAAAAUCCUUGAUAAUAUUAAAGCGUUACUAUGUCGAUUGGUUGUGGAUAUCAACUGUAAUGAUGUUGGUUGUUGGUUCCGGUUGCUUGAUUUUGGCUGUUUGAUUGAAUUCGUUAUUUUCGUGAAAAUUCUUUUCCACCUCAGCUGUGGCUGCGGACUUAUUUUGAGAAUCGAAU